CUGAAAUUAAGCCAGGAUUUGUCUCUUAUCCUGUAAUAAGUAACCCAGUGUAGACAAGCCUUUAAUAGAAUUGCACCUGUUGAAUCAUCAUCCGGUCCUUUCUUUCUUCCCUGCCCCACCCCAAGAACUUGUCUUAGAGUCAGCACCAGGAUGAAAGUGUUCACAAUCAGACAUCCUCUCUUUGCCAGAGUCAACUCAAUCCAGGGCCACCAAACAACCUCUCCAAUUAAGAAGUAUAUCGCUAUGGAAAAAAGAAUGCUUUUUGAGGAACAACUCAUGGAGGAACCUGAUCCAUAGA
Molecule: long non-coding RNA, 298 nt
Filed under: Monodelphis domestica (gray short-tailed opossum)
Lineage: Eukaryota; Metazoa; Chordata; Mammalia; Didelphimorphia; Didelphidae
Description: lncRNA (ENSMODG00000032603.2)
Source: RNAcentral